CAGCUGCGCCUCGCAGCGCAACCGAACUGUGGGCUCCACCCUCGAGGCUUCCAGACCAACAGAGGAGCGGAGCCGCACCCCGCGGGCUCCCCAUUGGUCGGGCGGGGAGGUGGGCGGGGCCCGGCGCCGAGGUCUCUCGCGGGUGGCGUUUUCCGGCAGUGGAGUCCCGGCGUUCGGUCCAGCCCAGGCCUUGCGCGGCGCUGGCGGCUCGCCGUCCCCUCGGGGGCUUGUGUCUCUGUCCAUACCUUCGCCCAGGUGACAUCGCUGGCCGAAAGGAAGGCCACCCCGCCUCUAGGAAAGCGCCAUGACAGUUGUAGUCCGAGGGAAAGACAAAAGGGGCGAGAGGAGCAGCCUGCCACUGAGAUGGACUCCGAGCCAGACACCGAUUCUUCAGAAAACGUAAAAGCCGGGUUAUUGCUGGGGCUCGGUGCCUGAACUACGAAUCCACUGCUCCUGGACGCCAUUUUCUCCAUUUUGUUAUCCUUGUUGUUAUUGUUGCCAUUGAUGAUGAUGUUAUUGGAUAGGACACAGAGAAAUCUAGAGAGGAAGGAAGACAAAGAGGAGAGAAAGAUAGGCACCUGCAGCUUAACCUGCUGCGCUUCAGCCCGAAAGAGUUUCUUUUUUUUUGUUUGUUUUGUUUUUACUAUUUUUAUUAUCUUUUCUUAUUAGAGACAGUCUAAAAUUGAGAGGGUAGGGGGAGACGGAGAAAAAGAGAUACCUACAACACUACCUCAUCACUCUAGAAGCUUUCCCCCUGCAGGUGGGGACUAAGGAAUCAAACAUGGGUCCUUGCACAUUGUAAUAUGUGCGUUUAACCAAGUGCACUACAGCUCGGCCUCCCUGUCUGUGUGUGUGUGUGUGUGUGUGUGUAAAAAGCUAGGGGGGCAGCAAUAGCGCAGUGGGUUAAGCACACAUGGCGUGAAGCCAAAGGAACAACAUAAAAAUCCCAGUUCGAGCCCUAGGCUCCCCACCUGCAGGGAGGUCGCUUCACAAGUGGUAAAGCAGGUCAGCAGAUGUCUUCUCUCCCGUCUCUGUCUCUCCCUCCUCUCUAGAUUUCUCUCUGUCCUAUCCAGCAACAAUAACAGGAAUAGAGAGUCGGGUAGUGCUGUGGGUUAAGCACAGGUGACAAAAAGCGCAAAGACCCACCAUAAGGAUCCCAGUUCGAGCCCCCGGAUCCCCACCUGCAGGGGAUUCGCUUCACAAGUGGUGAGGCAGGUCUACAGAUGUCUUUCUCUCCCCGUCUUCCCCUCCUUUCUGCAUUUCUCUCUGUCUUAUCCAACAAUGACAUCAAUAACAACAAUAUUAACUACAACAAUAAAAUAACAAAGGCAACAAAAGGGAAUAAAUAAGUAUAAUUUAAAAAAUAACAAGGGGGUUGUGGUCCAGGAAGUGGCGCAGUGGAUAAGGCAUUGGACUCUCAAGCAUGAGGUCCUAAAUUCAAUCCCUGGCAGCACAUGUACCAGAGUGAUGUCUGGUUCUUUCUCUCACUCCUAUCAUUUCUCAUAAAUCACUAAAUAAAAUAAAAAUAAAUAAAUAGAUAACAA
Molecule: long non-coding RNA, 1544 nt
Organism: Erinaceus europaeus (western European hedgehog)
Lineage: Eukaryota; Metazoa; Chordata; Mammalia; Eulipotyphla; Erinaceidae
Exons: 3
Source: RefSeq, a predicted model, not a curated record